CCUACGGGAUGCAGCAGUGGGGAAUAUUGGGCAAUGGGCGCAAGCCUGACCCAGCAACGCCGCGUGAAGGAAGAAGGCUUUCGGGUUGUAAACGUCUUUUCUCAGGGACGAAGAAAGUGACGGUACCUGAGGAAUAAGCCACGGCUAACUACGUGCCAGCAGUCGCGGUAAUACGUAGGUGGCAAGCGUUAUCCGGAUUUACUGGGUGUAAAGGGCGUGUAGGCGGGACUGCAAGUCAGAUGUGAAAACCACGGGCUCAACCUGUGGCCUGCAUUUGAAACUGGAGUUCUUGAGUACUGGGGAGGCAGACGGAAUUCCUGGGGUAGCGGUGAAAUGCGUAGAUAUUAGGAGGAACACCAGUGGCGAAGGCGGUCUGCUGGACAGCAACUGACGCUGAGGCGCGAAGGCGUGGGGAGCAAACAGGAUUAGAUACCCUAGUAGUC
RNAcentral lists this ribosomal RNA (443 nucleotides) under uncultured bacterium. RNAcentral describes it as "partial 16S ribosomal RNA". It matches the Rfam family "Bacterial small subunit ribosomal RNA", at positions 338 to 795 of the family's 1533-position model. The record is from RNAcentral.